RNAcentral lists this small nucleolar RNA (107 nucleotides) under Theobroma cacao (cacao). RNAcentral describes it as "Plant small nucleolar RNA R71". It matches the Rfam family "Plant small nucleolar RNA R71". From Rfam's summary of the family: R71 is a member of the C/D box family of snoRNAs containing the C (UGAUGA) and D (CUGA) box motifs. Multiple nearly identical copies of this snoRNA have been identified in Arabidopsis, and it is thought to function as a 2'-O-ribose methylation guide for 18S ribosomal RNA. Lineage: Eukaryota; Viridiplantae; Streptophyta; Magnoliopsida; Malvales; Malvaceae. The record is from Rfam by way of RNAcentral.
AUCUCAUGAUGUGGACAUCGUCUCUGUAGUUAUUUAAAUCUCUCCUAAGCAUGAUAUAAGGAUUCAUUUUCAAAUUGUGUGAAUGAGGUUAUAUCAUUCCUCAUCUU